ACAAAUCUUUGUUGCGUUGCGAGGGAUUGCACGUGACACCAUUUGCUCCGUGUGCAUGUGCACAUUGUGACAUUUCUGCUUAAUAUCUGAUUAUUGUGCAUGGAACAGAAU
RNAcentral lists this unclassified non-coding RNA (111 nucleotides) under uncultured fungus. Its description in RNAcentral is "sequence contains ITS1". The record is from RNAcentral. Lineage: Eukaryota; Fungi.